CACAGUAGAUCUGUGAGGUAGGUCUCUCAUUUUUCCCAUGUAAUAGAUGAGGAUGCCGAGACACAAAGUUCUAGUAUACAGUCUUCAUGGGAUGUUCAUGUUCUGUUCACUGCUGUACCUGUAGGUAAGGAGAACAGUGUGUAACACCCUGAAUAUUUCUUGAAUGAAAAUAGAAAAUAACUCCAUUUCCUCAAGCCAUAGAACGGUAAAGAAGACAGUAUUCAAACUCAAAUCUGAGUAGAUCUAUACCAUUCAUUUUUUUUCUUUUUCCUUUUGAAAUUGCUUAAGGCCAUGGGAGAAUUGCAGUAACAGUAACAGAACAAUAACAGUACAAGACCCAGUGACCCUUCACCUGGACUCCUCACUCUGCCUGUGCCACACUGGCUUUAUCUGUUUCCCGAUAUGCACCAUGAUUUUUUCUGAACCAUGUCUAAGGAAGGUACAGACAUCUUGACACUCCACCUGGACUCUUUGCCCAGUGAUUGCUAAGAGAAAACAUGCAGGUUUUAUACCUAAGAGAAUUAAUAUCAGUUCACAUUUCCUUAGCCAUUCACCAAAUUACUUUAUGGAUUUCCCCCAGUCAGUGUCCCACCAAGGCUCACGCACUGCCUUUGGUUGCUGCCACCUCAGAAGGUCUGUUCUUCUAGCCCUGUUCUGCAGUAUGGCACUUGAGAAAUGCUUAACUCCACUGCAGCAUUUUGUUUUCACAGCCUCAUCACUCUGGCCAACCUUCCUCCCUUGGGAUCAGCAAAUGCAGGAGCAGAGGGGAUUCGCUCAGAGGAGAACAUCUACACCAUCGAGGAGAACGUCUACCCCAUCGAGGAGAACGUCUACACCAUCGAGGAGAAUGUCUACGAGAUGGAGAAUCCAAGUACUGGGGAUCAAACUCGGGUCCUUGCGCUUGAGGGGCAGGCGGUGGAACCCGUGAGCUACAUCCCUGGCCCUCCACCUAUCUUUUUGUGGAAAAGUUGUGUUUUUCACUGAAGAACCCCAGUGGCCAAAACCAUAUUUUUUCCUGGUGGAAGAGGGCAGAGGCCUCCAGGAAUCCGUACUGUCAUCGGGGUCGGUUCCCUUGGUGGGAGACAGUGGUCCCGAAGUGUGAAUCCCAAGAUGACAGAACUAGGUUUGUCUGCUUAUUGCUGACUCCCAGUGCCUGGCCUGGUUCUCAUGCAGAACAGACCCUGACGCUUUGUCUUCAGGAGUUAGACUUCAAUGAGCAAUCAGGUUAGCUUUCUGGCAAGACUUCUCCAGUGAAGAGCUCAGAAGAGCCUGACUCUGUGACUUCACUUCGUGAACCCUCACGGGCGCCCCCAUCUGCUCCGAGUCAGCCGUGGUGGCCGUUGUUUCUCCAUAUGUCUCCCCCUUCAGGCCCCUGAAGGCUGCUGCUCCUGUGCCUGCUCCCUUCCUCCCGGGGAGUCCUCCUGGCUCAUAAAGAAUAAACCAGCUCUGUGGCCCUGUGGCUGCCUGAGCACUGCUCCUCCCAGGGUGAGGGCUCCCUGGCUGCUGUGCUGUUUGCAGGAGAGGUGGGUCCUGCAGAAUGAGAUGGCCUGCUUGGUCCGGUCAUCCUGGCCGUCCGUGUAUGAAUUUCGGUGUGUGGGCUGCAUCUAGGUGUCGUGGAGGACACUGGCUUUCUCAGGGAAGAUAUGUAAGGGAGAUCAUUUCAUAAAGUCCAUUAAGGCAGCAGCUCUCACACAGGCUGAAAAAUGAAUCACACAUGUUUCAAUGUCAUGAAAUUCUACUGCGAAAGAACUUCAAAACAUUAGGAGCAGAUCAAUGGUUUGCCCCCAUGUGAUCCUUGUCUUACAACAAUCUUUAAACAAGGGUGUGUAUACUAAGAUGAUAACUGCAGUAGACCUUGUAAGAGACUGUUUUACAUUAAUAGGGGAAUAAUGGUGCAGUUAAAAAGAGCUUGGUGAUGCCUGGCAUGGUGGUACACACCUGUAAUCCUGGCACUCAGGAGGCUGAGGCAAGAGGAUUGCCAUGAGGUCAUUGUCAGCCUGGACUACACAGUAAGUUCAAGGCCAGUCUCAACCAUUGUACAUAGCAAGAUGACUGUUUUGUGAGUGGGUCACCUUUGAUAAAUCUUUUAUUAUAGGUUUGAGUUUUAUUCUGACAAUUGCUAUAUGAUAACUUGAUACAUUUUCUUCUGUUACUUCUACAUUUUGCAUUUGUACUUUUUUGUUCAUUUUAUAUCUAAUUCAUGUAACAUAGAAAUUUUUUACACUCCAA
Heterocephalus glaber (naked mole-rat) is the source of this 2229-nucleotide non-coding RNA. The record is from RefSeq and is a predicted model, not a curated record. Lineage: Eukaryota; Metazoa; Chordata; Mammalia; Rodentia; Bathyergidae.